AGAGUUUGAUUAUGGCUCAGAUUGAACGCUGGCGGCAGGCUUAACACAUGCAAGUCGAGCGGAGAGAGGUAGCUUGCUACUGAUCUUAGCGGCGGACGGGUGAGUAAUGCUUAGGAAUCUGCCUAUUAGUGGGGGACAACAUUUCGAAAGGAAUGCUAAUACCGCAUACGUCCUACGGGAGAAAGCAGGGGAUCUUCGGACCUUGCGCUAAUAGAUGAGCCUAAGUCGGAUUAGCUAGUUGGUGGGGUAAAGGCCUACCAAGGCGACGAUCUGUAGCGGGUCUGAGAGGAUGAUCCGCCACACUGGGACUGAGACACGGCCCAGACUCCUACGGGAGGCAGCAGUGGGGAAUAUUGGACAAUGGGCGCAAGCCUGAUCCAGCCAUGCCGCGUGUGUGAAGAAGGCCUUAUGGUUGUAAAGCACUUUAAGCGAGGAGGAGGCUACUUUAGUUAAUACCUAGAGAUAGUGGACGUUACUCGCAGAAUAAGCACCGGCUAACUCUGUGCCAGCAGCCGCGGUAAUACAGAGGGUGCAAGCGUUAAUCGGAUUUACUGGGCGUAAAGCGCGCGUAGGCGGCUAAUUAAGUCAAAUGUGAAAUCCCCGAGCUUAACUUGGGAAUUGCAUUCGAUACUGGUUAGCUAGAGUGUGGGAGAGGAUGGUAGAAUUCCAGGUGUAGCGGUGAAAUGCGUAGAGAUCUGGAGGAAUACCGAUGGCGAAGGCAGCCAUCUGGCCUAACACUGACGCUGAGGUGCGAAAGCAUGGGGAGCAAACAGGAUUAGAUACCCUGGUAGUCCAUGCCGUAAACGAUGUCUACUAGCCGUUGGGGCCUUUGAGGCUUUAGUGGCGCAGCUAACGCGAUAAGUAGACCGCCUGGGGAGUACGGUCGCAAGACUAAAACUCAAAUGAAUUGACGGGGGCCCGCACAAGCGGUGGAGCAUGUGGUUUAAUUCGAUGCAACGCGAAGAACCUUACCUGGCCUUGACAUAGUAAGAACUUUCCAGAGAUGGAUUGGUGCCUUCGGGAACUUACAUACAGGUGCUGCAUGGCUGUCGUCAGCUCGUGUCGUGAGAUGUUGGGUUAAGUCCCGCAACGAGCGCAACCCUUUUCCUUAUUUGCCAGCGAGUAAUGUCGGGAACUUUAAGGAUACUGCCAGUGACAAACUGGAGGAAGGCGGGGACGACGUCAAGUCAUCAUGGCCCUUACGGCCAGGGCUACACACGUGCUACAAUGGUCGGUACAAAGGGUUGCUACCUAGCGAUAGGAUGCUAAUCUCAAAAAGCCGAUCGUAGUCCGGAUUGGAGUCUGCAACUCGACUCCAUGAAGUCGGAAUCGCUAGUAAUCGCGGAUCAGAAUGCCGCGGUGAAUACGUUCCCGGGCCUUGUACACACCGCCCGUCACACCAUGGGAGUUUGUUGCACCAGGAGUAGCUAGCCUAACUGCAAAGAGGGCGGUUACCAC
RNAcentral lists this ribosomal RNA (1458 nucleotides) under Acinetobacter sp. IARI-JR-76. Its description in RNAcentral is "bacterial SSU rRNA". It matches the Rfam family "Bacterial small subunit ribosomal RNA". Lineage: Bacteria; Pseudomonadati; Pseudomonadota; Gammaproteobacteria; Moraxellales; Moraxellaceae. The record is from RNAcentral.